UACGUAGGGGGCAAGCGUUAUCCGGAUUCACUGGGUGUAAAGGGAGCGUAGACGGCGACGCAAGUCUGGAGUGAAAGCCCGGGGCCCAACCCCGGGACUGCUCUGGAAACUGCGGCGCUGGAGUACGGGAGGGGCAGGCGGAAUUCCUGGUGUAGCGGUGAAAUGCGUAGAUAUCAGGAGGAACACCGGCGGCGGAGGCGGCCUGCUGGACCGUGACUGACGUUGAGGCUCGAGAGCGUGGGGAGCAAACAGG
RNAcentral lists this ribosomal RNA (253 nucleotides) under uncultured bacterium. RNAcentral describes it as "partial 16S ribosomal RNA". It matches the Rfam family "Bacterial small subunit ribosomal RNA", at positions 524 to 776 of the family's 1533-position model. The record is from RNAcentral.